RNAcentral lists this ribosomal RNA (222 nucleotides) under uncultured bacterium. RNAcentral describes it as "partial 16S ribosomal RNA". It matches the Rfam family "Bacterial small subunit ribosomal RNA", at positions 109 to 334 of the family's 1533-position model. The record is from RNAcentral.
AGUAAUGCUUGGGAAUCUAGCUUAUGGAGGGGGAUAGCUACGGGAAACUGUAGCUAAUACCGCGUAGUAUCGGAAGAUGAAAGUGUGGGACCUUCGGGCCACAUGCCAUAGGAUGAGCCCAAGUGGGAUUAGGUAGUUGGUGAGGUAAAGGCUCACCAAGCCGACGAUCUCUAGCUGGUCUGAGAGGAUGACCAGCCACACUGGGACUGAGACACGGCCCAG